This is a long non-coding RNA of Pan troglodytes (chimpanzee), 211 nucleotides long. RefSeq lists it as uncharacterized. NCBI's taxonomy places the organism in Eukaryota, Metazoa, Chordata, Mammalia, Primates, Hominidae. The record is from RefSeq and is a predicted model, not a curated record. The transcript has 3 exons.
CCCAAAUAUGCCAUCUUUUAGUUGGAACCAAAUAUCGAAUGUGCUGAAAAAGGCAGGCUUUAAAUUGGCUGUGCAUGGUGGCAGGACUGAUCGAGUGCAGGACUUCAAGACGAGCCUGGGCAACAUGGCCACCAAUCAGUUUGAAAAUUUUUGUGGGACACAUGUCUUUAUUUAAAGUCUUUCCAAUGCUUUGGGACUUCUUUUCUUUGGC